CGUGAGAUGUUGGGUUAAGUCCCGCAACGAGCGCAACCCUUGCCAUUAGUUGCUACGAAAGGGCACUCUAAUGGGACUGCCGGUGACAAACCGGAGGAAGGUGGGGAUGACGUCAGGUCAUCAUGGCCCUUAUGGGUACGGGCUACACACGUCAUACAAUGGCCGGUACAGAGGGCUGCCAACCCGCGAGGGGGAGCCAAUCCCAGAAAACCGGUCGUAGUCCGGAUCGUAGUCUGCAACUCGACUGCG
RNAcentral lists this ribosomal RNA (249 nucleotides) under uncultured bacterium. RNAcentral describes it as "partial 16S ribosomal RNA". It matches the Rfam family "Bacterial small subunit ribosomal RNA", at positions 1066 to 1320 of the family's 1533-position model. The record is from RNAcentral.